CCUACGGGAGGCUGCAGUGAGGAAUAUUGGUCAAUGGGCGGAAGCCUGAACCAGCCAAGUCGCGUGAAGGAUUAAGGCCCUGCGGGUCGUAAACCUCUUUUGCCGGGGAGCAGUGGUCCGGACGUGUCCGGGCCGGGAGAGUACCCGGAGAAAAAGCAUCGGCUAACUCCGUGCCAGCAGCCGCGGUAAUACGGAGGAUGCGAGCGUUAUCCGGAUUUAUUGGGUUUGAGGGGUGCGUAGGCGGGCAUUUAAGCCGGCGGUCAAAUGUCGGGGCUCAACCCCGGCCUGCCGUCGGAACUGGGUGGCUUGAGUGGGAGAGAAGUAUGCGGAAUUCGUGGUGUAGCGGUGAAAUGCAUAGAUAUCACGCAGAACCCCGAUGGCGAAGGCAGCAUACCGGAGCCCUACUGACGCUGAGGCACGAAAGUGUGGGUAUCGAACAGGAUUAGAUACCCCUGUAGUC
This 460-nucleotide ribosomal RNA is filed under the name uncultured bacterium. Its description in RNAcentral is "partial 16S ribosomal RNA". It matches the Rfam family "Bacterial small subunit ribosomal RNA", at positions 338 to 795 of the family's 1533-position model. The record is from RNAcentral.